Molecule: non-coding RNA, 2428 nt
Organism: Physcomitrium patens
Lineage: Eukaryota; Viridiplantae; Streptophyta; Bryopsida; Funariales; Funariaceae
Source: RefSeq, a predicted model, not a curated record
UCCGUCGCCCUACCCAGCGCUGAUGACGAUGUCGUGAACUACAUUGCUCGCGGCUCUCCUCAUACCCUCAACAUUGUCACACCACCAUCGCAAUCCCGUCUCCCUCGCUCUGUCAUUCCCCCUUCCCCUCCUCUGCUUGCUUUUUUCAUCUCCCCUCUUCUUUCCUCUGUAUAAUUCGUAUCCACACAUAUCGCCGCGAGCCGCAGCUCGAGAGAGCUAGAGAGCCUCACCCUGUCGUAGUGCGCGAUACCAGUUCUCCGCUUUGUUUCCCAACGAGAUAUCUUGGUAUUUCAACUGUUGCAUUUGCAGCUUUCGAGCUUAAUGCAGAAUACUCAGAAGGGUAAUUGAGAAUUCCAUAUUUUGGGGGAUUUAGAACGGUUAUCGUGGAAUUCUUGCUCUAUUCUUGGAGUAGUGCUACCGUGAGCCUUGUCGAAUAUUUAGCAGAAGAGCAGCUGGUGGGAUUGCAGCUUGGAAAGGUUCUCAUUUUCCUUGAUCACAGUCACAAAUUGCGUACUUACCGCUUUACGAACCAUCUUUCACGGUUGAAUGCCGUUUCUCCAUCGGUUCUCCGUGGGUCUCACUGCGUGACGAACUUCCGAGAUAUCUAGCCCUGCUUAAAUUUGAGAUCCAUUGCGGUUUUGAGCGUCAUGAUUUAGCAAGUGUUUUAAAAAUUCCAGGGUCCUAGGGCAAUUGUCUCACGUAGUGCACUGAACUCUGUCUGAAUUUUAGGGGAUGAGAGGUAGAUUUGAAGAAUACUGGUGUCUAAUUUUCUGUUAAUUUUUCACCCUUGAGGUAGCUCAUGGAUUUGGGAGGUGAUCGCAUGAGAGCUCCUCAGAGGCAGUCUCGAGAAUAUCAAUAUAGAUCAUUGGACGUCUUCACAGAGCAACACGAGCAGUUGCAAAAGCAGCAGCAGCAAGAUGAGUAUCAGAGAACAGAAUUGAAGCUCGAGACACUGCCAAAAAUGUUAAGCAAUGCGACCGUGUCAUCUUCCCCUCGAAGCAGUCCGGAUGGACGUAGACUACGUACAGUCGCGAAUAAGUAUGCUGUGGAAGGUAUGGUUGGGAGUGGCGCAUUCUGCAAGGUGUAUCAGGGCUCCGAUUUGACGAACCACGAGGUUGUGGGCAUCAAGCUGGAGGAUACGAGAACUGAGCACGCUCAGUUAAUGCACGAGUCGCGCUUGUACAACAUAUUGCGGGGUGGGAAGGGAGUGCCCAACAUGAGAUGGUUCGGAAAAGAGCAAGACUACAAUGUGAUGGUGCUAGACCUAUUGGGGCCGAACCUGUUGCACCUCUUUAAGGUGUGUGGGCUAAGGUUUUCGUUGAAGACCGUGAUUAUGCUCGGUUACCAAAUGAUUGACCGGGUGGAAUACGUGCAUUCUCGAGGGCUCGUUCACCGUGACCUGAAGCCGGAUAACUUCCUCAUGGGCUGCGGUCGGCAAGGAAACCAAGUGUUCAUUAUAGAUUUUGGCUUGGCAAAGGAGUACAUGGACCCGGCAACACGAAGGCAUAUCCCUUACCGAGAUAGGAAGAGCUUCACAGGGACGGCACGGUACGCUAGUAGGAAUCAGCACAGAGGAAUCGAGCACAGUAGAAGAGAUGACAUAGAAUCACUUGGUUACAUUCUUAUGUACUUUCUAAGAGGCAAUUUGCCAUGGCAAGGGAAGGGCGGGCAACGCCUCACUGACCAGAAGCAACACGAGUACAUGCACAACAAAAUCAAGAUGAACACCACUGUGGAGGAGCUUUGUGAUGGGUAUCCCAGUCAAUUUGCCGACUUUUUGCACCACGCGCGAAGUCUAGGUUUCUACGAGCAGCCUGACUACUGUUACCUCCGAAGCUUGUUCCGUGAUCUUUUCAUUCAGAAAAAAUUCCAGCUCGACCAUGUGUACGACUGGACUGUGUAUACUCAACUCCCCCAGAAUGGCUCUCUGCAAUCAGUGCGCAGCCAGAAUUCCGCUGCUUCGUCCCAUUUGCAAAAUCGACCUUCGAAUGUAUCAUAUUGUCCACCCUUGACCAAGUCGGAGUUCCGUCGUGAGGUUGUUGCGGCGAAUUAGGGCUUACGUUGGGAGGACUAGUGGUUCAUCCUCUGCUCUGGUACUAAAAUAGCACAAGGUUGCUUACUGUUUCCCUCUCUCAAGUCUUACAUGAUUGUGAAUGGGGGUUUAUGGAGUUGAGGAUGAGGCAACUAAGCAGAGUGUAGGAAAAGAGUUGUAGACUCUCUAGUGUGUAGUGUGUAAAUCAAGGCUUCUAGCAUUGUGUCGGUAGCUUGUAUGGAUCAGACUAGAAAUGACUUUAUCCAUUACAAGAAUUUUUACUCGGAAAGCCCAUGACGGUGAUGAUUUCAAUACGUUGCACAAGCAACUUUCUUCUGUAAUUGAAAUAGAGGAUCUGGUCUGAGUAUGAGAAGAUGGGCAUACAUUAUUGGAGUA